AUUCUCCCCAAUUCUACUGAGAUAACAAGAGAGAGAGAGAGAGAGAGAGAGAGAGAGAGAGAGAGGAAGGAGGAGGCCUCGGCUAAGGGGGAGGGAGGGAGGAAGGAGAGGUCCGUUUUUGACGAUCCAACUCGGUGACAAGUAACAAGCCGGUCUUUUAGGAGGUGCCGAAACCGUAAGUUUGGCAUACUCCAGUCGAAUGAAAGGUAGCAGGUGGCUUAGAGUGGGUCCACUACUGGUCAACGCUUUGGAGAGUGCUGAGACUAGUCUCGGGUGAUGUCUUUGGUUAGAUUGUUGUGUAGCUGAUUUGUCUAGAAGUUAACCUAAAUGUUUUGUAAUUAAUUGGAGAGAGGGAUAUUUAUUAUAACUUGUGAGUUGAGAUUUUGGCGUUGACUUGGUUGUAUUUUAAGUGAGAAGUCUUCCGCUAA
Long non-coding RNA from Rhododendron vialii, 428 nucleotides. RefSeq lists it as uncharacterized. The record is from RefSeq and is a predicted model, not a curated record. NCBI's taxonomy places the organism in Eukaryota, Viridiplantae, Streptophyta, Magnoliopsida, Ericales, Ericaceae. The transcript has 3 exons.